AUGGAACUCUGGUAUUUAGGUACAGAUCCCACCCACAGAUGCAGUAUACGUUACACAGUCAAUAGUAGUCGUUUCCUGCACGAAAGCUCUACCACACAUAUUAAGCCAUUGCAGCAGGUGUUUGGAUCUGAAAAACUGCACAACCACUUCGUCACUUUGAAACAAUGCGGUGAGAACAGAAGGACACAGUGCGAGUCAAAGCUGUUUCAACCCACACACGGAUUUAAAUCGAGGUAA
This is a non-coding RNA of Vicia faba (fava bean), 237 nucleotides long. Lineage: Eukaryota; Viridiplantae; Streptophyta; Magnoliopsida; Fabales; Fabaceae. The record is from the annotation of a GenBank genome assembly.